AGACUCGUAGCUCAGUAGGCUAGAACGUUGGCUACACAAAAGCCAUCCGCUUGCUGGCGUGGGUUCGAAUCCCACCGAGACCG
Molecule: transfer RNA, 83 nt
Filed under: Schistocephalus solidus
Lineage: Eukaryota; Metazoa; Platyhelminthes; Cestoda; Diphyllobothriidea; Diphyllobothriidae
Rfam family: tRNA
About the family: Transfer RNA (tRNA) molecules are approximately 80 nucleotides in length. Their secondary structure includes four short double-helical elements and three loops (D, anti-codon, and T loops).
Source: Rfam by way of RNAcentral